This 429-nucleotide ribosomal RNA is filed under the name Bacteroidota bacterium. Its description in RNAcentral is "Bacteroidetes bacterium partial 16S ribosomal RNA". It matches the Rfam family "Bacterial small subunit ribosomal RNA", at positions 355 to 776 of the family's 1533-position model. The record is from RNAcentral. Lineage: Bacteria; Pseudomonadati; Bacteroidota.
UAGGGAAUCUUCGGCAAUGGGGGGAACCCUGACCGAGCAACGCCGCGUGAGUGAAGAAGGUUUUCGGAUCGUAAAGCUCCGUUGUUAAGGAAGAACGAGUGUGAGAAUGGAAAGUUCAUGCUGUGACGGUACUUAACCAGAAAGGGACGGCUAACUACGUGCCAGCAGCCGCGGUAAUACGUAGGUCCCGAGCGUUGUCCGGAUUUAUUGGGCGUAAAGCGAGCGCAGGCGGUUAGAAAAGUCUGAAGUGAAAGGCAGUGGCUCAACCAUUGUAGGCUUUGGAAACUGUUUAACUUGAGUGCAGAGGGGGAGAGUGGAAUUCCAUGUGUAGCGGUGAAAUGCGUAGAUAUAUGGAGGAACACCGGUGACGAAAGCGGCUCUCUGGUCUGUAACUGACGCUGAGGCUCGAAGGCGUGGGAAGCGAACAGG